Molecule: transfer RNA, 75 nt
Filed under: Flaviflexus salsibiostraticola
Lineage: Bacteria; Bacillati; Actinomycetota; Actinomycetes; Actinomycetales; Actinomycetaceae
Description: tRNA-Lys
Rfam family: tRNA
About the family: Transfer RNA (tRNA) molecules are approximately 80 nucleotides in length. Their secondary structure includes four short double-helical elements and three loops (D, anti-codon, and T loops).
Source: RNAcentral
GGGCCUCUAGCUCAAUGGUAGAGCUCCGGACUUUUAAUCCGUAGGUUGUGGGUUCGAAUCCCACGGGGCCUACCG